This is a long non-coding RNA of Gopherus evgoodei (Goodes thornscrub tortoise), 412 nucleotides long. RefSeq lists it as uncharacterized. The transcript is spliced from 4 exons. NCBI's taxonomy places the organism in Eukaryota, Metazoa, Chordata, Testudines, Testudinidae. The record is from RefSeq and is a predicted model, not a curated record.
AGGCUGGCUUCAAAAUCCUUACUCAAACUGGGAGUUGCUGCAUAGAGGCUUUAUGUGCUCUCUCUUCUUUGCAAGUGCACAAGGAAGUAACUGAGAAACAAGACAGCAGCAACACUUUCUAAGUCUACCACUGUUAAUUCUAUUCAGUGAAACAGAUACUGAAUAUUAGUAUUUCUAACACAGGACUACUGAAUAACUGUACAUGGGGAGCAUUGAUAUUAAAGACAUACAUACAAUUCUCCAGUGAAUUGCUGAUGUAAUCCAGAUCAUCUCACAUAAUGCUUUUUGCAAUAUUCCACAAGCAAUAAUAGCCUGGAACUUUUUGAAAUAAAAAGCGAAUUACCCGGCAUAUAAGUUUGUCAAAUUUGUUGAAAAACUGUUUGCUGCACUUAUGAGAGACAUUGUCACAUCC